CACAGUAAAAUCUCCAGUGUUGAAAUCCCAGUGUUAAGGACUUUUAGAGUAAAGAGUUAAAGUUGUGGUGUUGAAUUUCAAACGAUUAACACUAGCUAGUGUAAACGGCACCCUCUUGCGGUGUUAACACGGAAAGUAACCCAUAUUUAACACUGUUGAGUGUUAUUAAUAACAUCCGGGACAUUUUCUCGUGUGCGCGCAUAACCCAUCUGAAAUAUUUUUCAAAGACGCCAUUUUCUUUGCUCGCGAUGCGAAGUGCAUAUGGAAUUAAAACAGCGAAAUAAAAGACAUUUCCUUUCACUCGCAACGCGGAACAGACGAGGGCUUUUUUUCGAAACGGGAAAAUCCGAAAAGCGAUAUUUCAUUUCACCAGCGAAGCGAAGUAGACAGGGAAGUUGGUUUUAACAAGGAAAACACCGACAGUAACAAUUUGAAUUGCUCUGCAGUGCGCAGAUGCGGAGUUCACUAGGAAACACCAGAAGUAAGUUAACCGUUUUAAAUCUUACCUCAUUUAAAAUGUGUUUUAUAACGUCAUAUUAUUUAUAGUGAUAUCUGUCUGCUGUAAGUUACACUCCUAAACUUUUUCUCAAAGAUAUUUUCUUUCACUCGCGAUGCUCUGGAGGAGAUGGGGAAGUUGGUUUUAACAAAGAAAACACCAAAAAUGGUUCAUGCUGGCUUAACAGAAAAAUCAAAAGGAGAUGAUUUGCUUGAAGAGUAUGAAGCCACCAAUAUAUGAGAGUUGUCCAACCUCAACGCAGAGAGAUCAGUAUGCACUUGGAAUUGUGACUGUCUCUGUCGUUAGAAGACCCAUUUUCUAGGGAAGGUGUGUGAUGCUGCAAAUAGGAGUGGAUAUCUUGCUUGGCUGAAAACUGCUGAGAAACGCAUCUUGUCGUGCUGAAAAAAAAGAAGUCUAGAAGAGAGAAAAAGACUAUUCUCUCCAAGGAGGUCCAAACACAGACAUUGAUUAGUGAGCAUUAACAUGUAUUCUGCAUUUAUGGUAAUGAAUGGAAUGCUGUUGUUUAACCUGAUAAAUGUCAGCAUUAUAAAUCUUAUGACAUUAAGAGUACAUAUGGACCAAAUAAGAAUGUUUUUUGUGUCUUUGCACUGAUUUGCUUUGACAUUAUGAUGUUUAAUUGUUGUAAGGCCAUGCUCUUUACAUUGAAUUUUAGAAUUUUACAUUUAGAAUUUAUUUAUUUGUUUUAUUUUGAAUUGCUUUGAAUUGAAACAUUGAAAGUGAAGACAUUUUGGUGCAGGGAAAAAAAUUACAAUGUUUCAAUAAAAUAAAUAAAUGUAAAC
Molecule: long non-coding RNA, 1296 nt
Organism: Cyprinus carpio carpio
Lineage: Eukaryota; Metazoa; Chordata; Actinopteri; Cypriniformes; Cyprinidae
Source: Ensembl